UUAAGUUAUUAAGGGCGCACGGUGGAUGCCUUGGCACUAGAAGCCGAUGAAGGACGUUACUAACGACGAUAUGCUUUGGGGAGCUGUAAGUAAGCUUUGAUCCAGAGAUUUCCGAAUGGGGAAACCCAGCAUGAGUUAUGUCAUGUUAUCGAUAUGUGAAUACAUAGCAUAUCAGAAGGCACACCCGGAGAACUGAAACAUCUUAGUACCCGGAGGAAGAGAAAGAAAAUUCGAUUCCCUUAGUAGCGGCGAGCGAAACGGGAAGAGCCCAAACCAACAAGCUUGCUUGUUGGGGUUGUAGGACACUCUAUACGGAGUUACAAAGGACGACAUUAGACGAAUCAUCUGGAAAGAUGAAUCAAAGAAGGUAAUAAUCCUGUAGUCGAAAAUGUUGUCUCUCUUGAGUGGAUCCUGAGUACGACGGAGCACGUGAAAUUCCGUCGGAAUCUGGGAGGACCAUCUCCUAAGGCUAAAUACUCUCUAGUGACCGAUAGUGAACCAGUACCGUGAGGGAAAGGUGAAAAGCACCCCGGAAGGGGAGUGAAAUAGAACCUGAAACCGUGUGCUUACAAGUAGUCAGAGCCCGUUAAUGGGUGAUGGCGUGCCUUUUGUAGAAUGAACCGGCGAGUUACGAUUUGAUGCAAGGUUAAGCAGUAAAUGUGGAGCCGUAGCGAAAGCGAGUCUGAAUAGGGCGUUUAGUAUUUGGUCGUAGACCCGAAACCAGGUGAUCUACCCUUGGUCAGGUUGAAGUUCAGGUAACACUGAAUGGAGGACCGAACCGACUUACGUUGAAAAGUGAGCGGAUGAACUGAGGGUAGCGGAGAAAUUCCAAUCGAACCUGGAGAUAGCUGGUUCUCUCCGAAAUAGCUUUAGGGCUAGCCUCAAGUGAUGAUUAUUGGAGGUAGAGCACUGUUUGGACGAGGGGCCCCUCUCGGGUUACCGAAUUCAGACAAACUCCGAAUGCCAAUUAAUUUAACUUGGGAGUCAGAACAUGGGUGAUAAGGUCCGUGUUCGAAAGGGAAACAGCCCAGACCACCAGCUAAGGUCCCAAAAUAUAUGUUAAGUGGAAAAGGAUGUGGCGUUGCCCAGACAACUAGGAUGUUGGCUUAGAAGCAGCCAUCAUUUAAAGAGUGCGUAAUAGCUCACUAGUCGAGUGACACUGCGCCGAAAAUGUACCGGGGCUAAACAUAUUACCGAAGCUGUGGAUUGUCCUUUGGACAAUGGUAGGAGAGCGUUCUAAGGGCGUUGAAGCAUGAUCGUAAGGACAUGUGGAGCGCUUAGAAGUGAGAAUGCCGGUGUGAGUAGCGAAAGACGGGUGAGAAUCCCGUCCACCGAUUGACUAAGGUUUCCAGAGGAAGGCUCGUCCGCUCUGGGUUAGUCGGGUCCUAAGCUGAGGCCGACAGGCGUAGGCGAUGGAUAACAGGUUGAUAUUCCUGUACCACCUAUAAUCGUUUUAAUCGAUGGGGGGACGCAGUAGGAUAGGCGAAGCGUGCGAUUGGAUUGCACGUCUAAGCAGUAAGGCUGAGUAUUAGGCAAAUCCGGUACUCGUUAAGGCUGAGCUGUGAUGGGGAGAAGACAUUGUGUCUUCGAGUCGUUGAUUUCACACUGCCGAGAAAAGCCUCUAGAUAGAAAAUAGGUGCCCGUACCGCAAACCGACACAGGUAGUCAAGAUGAGAAUUCUAAGGUGAGCGAGCGAACUCUCGUUAAGGAACUCGGCAAAAUGACCCCGUAACUUCGGGAGAAGGGGUGCUCUUUAGGGUUAACGCCCAGAAGAGCCGCAGUGAAUAGGCCCAAGCGACUGUUUAUCAAAAACACAGGUCUCUGCUAAACCGUAAGGUGAUGUAUAGGGGCUGACGCCUGCCCGGUGCUGGAAGGUUAAGAGGAGUGGUUAGCUUCUGCGAAGCUACGAAUCGAAGCCCCAGUAAACGGCGGCCGUAACUAUAACGGUCCUAAGGUAGCGAAAUUCCUUGUCGGGUAAGUUCCGACCCGCACGAAAGGCGUAACGAUUUGGGCACUGUCUCAACGAGAGACUCGGUGAAAUCAUAGUACCUGUGAAGAUGCAGGUUACCCGCGACAGGACGGAAAGACCCCGUGGAGCUUUACUGUAGCCUGAUAUUGAAAUUCGGCACAGCUUGUACAGGAUAGGUAGGAGCCUUUGAAACGUGAGCGCUAGCUUACGUGGAGGCGCUGGUGGGAUACUACCCUAGCUGUGUUGGCUUUCUAACCCGCACNACUUAUCGUGGUGGGAGACAGUGUCAGGCGGGCAGUUUGACUGGGGCGGUCGCCUCCUAAAAGGUAACGGAGGCGCUCAAAGGUUCCCUCAGAAUGGUUGGAAAUCAUUCAUAGAGUGUAAAGGCAUAAGGGAGCUUGACUGCGAGACCUACAAGUCGAGCAGGGUCGAAAGACGGACUUAGUGAUCCGGUGGUUCCGCAUGGAAGGGCCAUCGCUCAACGGAUAAAAGCUACCCCGGGGAUAACAGGCUUAUCUCCCCCAAGAGUUCACAUCGACGGGGAGGUUUGGCACCUCGAUGUCGGCUCAUCGCAUCCUGGGGCUGUAGUCGGUCCCAAGGGUUGGGCUGUUCGCCCAUUAAAGCGGUACGCGAGCUGGGUUCAGAACGUCGUGAGACAGUUCGGUCCCUAUCCGUCGUGGGCGUAGGAAAUUUGAGAGGAGCUGUCCUUAGUACGAGAGGACCGGGAUGGACAUACCUCUGGUGUACCAGUUGUCGUGCCAACGGCAUAGCUGGGUAGCUAUGUGUGGACGGGAUAAGUGCUGAAAGCAUCUAAGCAUGAAGCCCCCCUCAAGAUGAGAUUUCCCAACUUCGGUUAUAAGAUCCCUCAAAGAUGAUGAGGUUAAUAGGUUCGAGGUGGAAGCAUGGUGACAUGUGGAGCUGACGAAUACUAAUCGAUCGAAGACUUAAUCAA
This 2921-nucleotide ribosomal RNA is filed under the name Staphylococcus aureus. RNAcentral describes it as "bacterial LSU rRNA". It matches the Rfam family "Bacterial large subunit ribosomal RNA". Lineage: Bacteria; Bacillati; Bacillota; Bacilli; Caryophanales; Staphylococcaceae. The record is from RNAcentral.